This 373-nucleotide unclassified non-coding RNA is filed under the name uncultured bacterium. RNAcentral describes it as "contains 16S-23S intergenic spacer region". The record is from RNAcentral.
UCCGGUUUGUCACCGGCAGUCUCAUUAGAGUGCCCAACUAAAUGUAGCAACUAAUGACAAGGGUUGCGCUCGUUGCGGGACUUAACCCAACACCUCACGACACGAGCUGACGACAGUCAUGCAGCACCUUCUCACCAGUUCUCUUGCGAGCACCCCUCCAUCUCUGGAAGGUUCCGGCGGAUUUAACCCAGGUAAGGUUCUGCGCGUUGCGUCGAAUUGAACCACAUGCUCCACCGCUUGUGCGGGCCCCCGUCAAUUCCUUUGAGUUUCAAUCUUGCGAUCGUACUUCCCAGGUGGGAUACUUAAUGCUUUCGCUCAGACACACACAGUUUAUCGCGUAUGUCGAGUAUCCAUAGUUUAGGGCGUGGACUAC